Acipenser ruthenus (sterlet) is the source of this 608-nucleotide long non-coding RNA. RefSeq lists it as uncharacterized. The record is from RefSeq and is a predicted model, not a curated record. The transcript is spliced from 2 exons. NCBI's taxonomy places the organism in Eukaryota, Metazoa, Chordata, Actinopteri, Acipenseriformes, Acipenseridae.
UAUGGGCGUGAUCCUAGACCACGUGACCGGCGUUGGCGCUUCAAAUUCCACCCGGUUGUACUUCAGCAAUCACUUCCAGUACAACGGCGUGAUAGAUGGUUUGCCGAAAGGAUGGUGUGGAGUUUUCAGUGAUUCAGAAACGAUGUGAGCUCUGAAGACGGGUUGGAACCAGCCUGCAGUGCGUCCGUGUGGACGGAAGCAUUGCCCUUUCGUUGCCUGUGUGUUAUAGUACGAGGUUGUUCAGUUUUUCUCCCACGUUCUAUUAAAUACUCUUGCUAUGUGUAGGGUUACCUGUUGAUUCUAUGUUUGCGAGGACAGUUAAGGCUUUUGAACUCCUCGCAAUGCAUUUUGAUUACCUGCCUCGGGUACCUUCACAGCAAGACUACACUUAUCAGAAUGCAUUGCGAUGUGAGUUGACACGCCUGAAUUGUCCUCGUGUAGUCCUAUGGUAACCCUAGCUAUUUAUAACAUGUAAUACAAUGUAAAUACAUAUUUAAGUUUUAUACAGAAGCUUGUAGGAUUUGUUGUAUGUUUACAACAGACUUCAGCCACACUACUUCAAGUGCAUUCAGUAUAGUUCUGGAAAUAAAUGUAUUGAGGCAAGUAGA